AGCUUACCGAGCUGGUGUAAGAGCUGGCUUUGUCCUACUGACGCGUCUUCGCCUAACUGGGCCCCAGCUUAAAUCCGGUUUCUUGGAAGGCAGGUUCACGUGCAAAGGCUAUUUCAGGAGCGCUUUCUAUACAAAGCAGUAUCUCUUGCAAAGUUUCAGGUACUUUAGUCUUAUGAAAUUCUGCCAUAAAUUUUUUGAGCACUUGGGGAAACUAAGGCUUAGAAUGAAGUCAUUUGCGGUCAAGAAUUGUUUUCUUGUUUUUACUUUAAAUGGAACUUGACUUUUUUAUUUCUUUCAGAAACACUUUUGACUUCCUUGUGUGAGACGCAAGUCCUUUUCAUGGCAUGGGUUCAUAACCUCUUCUUGAGCCAAGAUCAGCAAAGAACAUCUAUAUAAAUAAAUACCCUUCUAUCAGAGGUCUAGGUGAAAGCAGCUCACAAGGAACAUAGCAACAUCUACAUGCGGGAAGCAGCUAAGAACUGAGAUCUUUGCAAACAGAGAUGUGCAUGUGGUGAUAUUUGAAAGUCUUGAAACUUCCUGCCUCAACUGGAAGAGAACAGAAACAAAUAGAAAAAUAAAGGUGGAAAAUGCAUCAGUAUCUAUGGGAAGCAAGUUUCAGAGAGUCAGCACAGCUGCACCUGAAACUCGUUUUUGCCUCACCUACACGAACGCACACUUGAUGUGCCUCAGCUCUCACCCAGCUGAGAAGUCAAGCACCACAGGAUUUAUCUUACCGACCGCAAGAAGAAAACGAUACUCAGACCCUGCCUGUGUGGGCUGAAUGUUUCAAGAGAAAUUUAUCAAGUACGUUUGAGUAAUGAAUACAUCCGAGGAAGCCAUAAUAUAGUGAGCAGGAAAAAAAAAUUACAAGUUUUAAAUGCAUUAAAUAAAUUAUCUGCAGCAAAUUAGUUGCUCAGCUUUCCUUCAGUGGGAUUUGUAUACACUGGCACAUUAAGCUACCAAGCUCAUUUACAAAUACCAUCCCAGGCUGCCUCUGCCCUCUGCAUCCGACUUCUCCCAGAACUGGGGGUGAGUGUUGCUGUCAUUUCACCUGACAGCUUUACUCAUAUCAUAGACACCACCACCCAGCAAUAAAGCCCAAUAAUGAAAAGGCAUUACCACCUAUAAAGGUACCCUGCUGCAGGCUGUUCACAUACUUGCCAAAUGGUACUUUAAUUGUGAUGAUGACCAAUUUGGAGAUAAUUGCUUCUGCAUCUCCUGCUGUUUCUGACAGUCCAAUGGACUCUUUAAUUAACUGGUUGGAUUAGCUCUCAGCACAGCAGAGGGGAGCUGUGUGCGUUUACCGUCUGUAGGCCCACGACCAGAAUAAGAUGCUCCAGCAUUAUUCUGGGAUCUCGGCAAGAGCUGGGCAGAAAACACCAAGGGGAUGCAGUGGCUGUUUGUAAUCUUCCUGCUUUCAUUCCCUGCGGAGCUAUCCUCCACGCCAACUUGUACAAUUUAUUAAGGAAGCAAAGCCAAAAAAUUGCUGGUCUUUGGCUUCUGCAACUGUAAUGAAAAACAGUCACUGUUUUCAAGGAGCCUGAGGUCCCUGCUUAGUCCUCUCCUGAUAAGCAAGCCCCCUGCAUCCAUCUCUGUCCCCUGGGAUCAUGCCUGUCUUGCUGAAAAGCAGAAAGCAGUG
Long non-coding RNA from Aquila chrysaetos chrysaetos, 1639 nucleotides. RefSeq lists it as uncharacterized. NCBI's taxonomy places the organism in Eukaryota, Metazoa, Chordata, Aves, Accipitriformes, Accipitridae. The transcript has 3 exons. The record is from RefSeq and is a predicted model, not a curated record.